Molecule: long non-coding RNA, 576 nt
Organism: Gallus gallus (chicken)
Lineage: Eukaryota; Metazoa; Chordata; Aves; Galliformes; Phasianidae
Source: Ensembl
CCUGGCAUUACUCAUCACCCACUGGCACUUCUUUUUGCUUCCCCUUUCUUAUUUGCUCUUAGGCCCAGGUGCUGCAAAGGUAAAUUACAGCAACAAGAUGCUGAAAAUGUGUUGUGAAAGUCAGAGCAGGCUCCUAACUGCACAGUCAAGCAGGCAUAGAAGCGAUUUCUCACCCUGUCAAGACAAAAUGAGACAGAAGUGGAUCAGCAGGUGCUGAGAGUACAGACAAAGGAAGGGAGCAGGGUAGAAUUAAGAAAGGAUGUCAAGAGAUAUUAUAUAAAUAACAUGGGUUGCUUGACUUUGAGUAGAGAAGAAAAGACAUCUUAGGAGUCAUCUGAGAUACUUGAAGAUAUCCUGCUCCCCAGCUGCUUCUCCUAAAGGAUGCUGAUCUCUCAGAGGUUGUGUCUGUCAACUGUGUAUGAGCAUUUCAGAUGGCACUGAACCACGCCAAAGUCUGAGCAGCUAAAUCCAGCACCUUUGCCUGCUAGCUAAAUAUCUCUUUUAGACUGUAUUAACUGUAAUGGAAACUUAGGCACCAAGGUAACAUCUGACAUCUGGACUUUUGCAUUUACUUAC